AACGAGUCUGCCCUCAAGGUGGACGGGACGGACGAUGAAAGCUUGUGGAGCUUCGUGAGUCUGUGUGACAGCGACCACGAUAAAAUGACAGGG
Phacochoerus africanus (Common warthog) is the source of this 93-nucleotide long non-coding RNA. RefSeq lists it as uncharacterized. The transcript has 3 exons. NCBI's taxonomy places the organism in Eukaryota, Metazoa, Chordata, Mammalia, Artiodactyla, Suidae. The record is from RefSeq and is a predicted model, not a curated record.